UACAGAGGGUGCAAGCGUUAUUCGGAAUCACUGGGCGUAAAGAGCUCGUAGGCGGUUAAUUAAGUCGAAUGUGAAAUCCCUGGGCUCAAUCCAGGAAGUGCAUUCGAUACUGAUUGACUGGAGUGCAGGAGAGGAAAGCGGAAUUCCAGGUGUAGAGGUGAAAUUCGUAGAUAUCUGGAGGAACAACAGAAGCGAAGGCGGCUUUCUGGACUGUCACUGACGCUGAGGAGCGAAAGCGUGGGGAGCAAACAGG
RNAcentral lists this ribosomal RNA (253 nucleotides) under uncultured bacterium. RNAcentral describes it as "partial 16S ribosomal RNA". It matches the Rfam family "Bacterial small subunit ribosomal RNA", at positions 524 to 776 of the family's 1533-position model. The record is from RNAcentral.